GACGAACGCUGGCGGCGUGCCUAAUACAUGCAAGUCGAACGCACUCUCGUUUAGAUUGAAGGAGCUUGCUCCUGAUUGAUAAACAUUUGAGUGAGUGGCGGACGGGUGAGUAACACGUGGGUAACCUGCCCUAAAGUGGGGGAUAACAUUUGGAAACAGAUGCUAAAUACCGCAUAAAACCUAACACCGCAUGGUGUAGGGUUGAAAGAUGGUUUCGGCUAUCACUUUAGGAUGGACCCGCGGUGCAUUAGUUAGUGGUGAGGUAAAGGCUCACCAAGACCGUGAUGCAUAGCCGACCUGAGAGGGUAAUCGGCCACACUGGGACUGAGACACGGCCCAGACUCCUACGGGAGGCAGCAGUAGGGAAUCUUCCACAAUGGACGAAAGUCUGAUGGAGCAACGCCGCGUGAGUGAAGAAGGUUUUCGGA
Molecule: ribosomal RNA, 428 nt
Filed under: uncultured bacterium
Lineage: Bacteria
Description: bacterial SSU rRNA
Rfam family: Bacterial small subunit ribosomal RNA
Source: RNAcentral